Molecule: small nuclear RNA, 106 nt
Organism: Callithrix jacchus (white-tufted-ear marmoset)
Lineage: Eukaryota; Metazoa; Chordata; Mammalia; Primates; Cebidae
Source: Ensembl
GUGCUCGCUUCGGCAGCACAUAUACUAAAAUUGGAACAAUACAGAAAAGAUUAGAAUGGCCCCUGCGCAAGAUGACACACAAAUUUGUGAAGUGUUCCAUAUUUUU